UAAAUUUUAAGUUAUAUAAACUAAGAACCUUCAAAGUUCUCAAAAAGAGACCUCUUAAAUUUAA
RNAcentral lists this transfer RNA (64 nucleotides) under Metacrangonyx longipes. Its description in RNAcentral is "transfer RNA-Trp". Lineage: Eukaryota; Metazoa; Arthropoda; Malacostraca; Amphipoda; Metacrangonyctidae. The record is from RNAcentral.